Molecule: ribosomal RNA, 431 nt
Filed under: uncultured bacterium
Lineage: Bacteria
Description: partial 16S ribosomal RNA
Rfam family: Bacterial small subunit ribosomal RNA
Source: RNAcentral
AGCGAACGCUGGCGGCAGGCUUAACACAUGCAAGUCGAGCGCCCCGCAAGGGGCGCGGCAGACGGGAGAGUAACACGUGGGAACAUACCUUUUGGUUCGUAACAACUCAGGGAAACUUCAGCUAAUACCGGAUAAGCCCUCACGUGGAAAGAUUUAUCUCCAAAAGAUUGGCUCACUUCUGAUUAGCUAUUUGGUGAGGUAACGUCUCACCAAGGCGACGAUCAUUAGCUGUUCUUAGAGUAUGAGCAUCCACACUGAGACUGGGACACAGCCCAGACUCCUACGGGAGGCAGCAGUGGGGGAUAUUGGAAAAUGGGGGGAACCAUGAUCCAGCCAUGCCGGGUGAGUGAUGAAAGCAGUAGGGUAGUAAAGCUCUUUUGACCGGGAAGAUAAUGACGGUACCGAAAGAAUAAGCCCCGGCUAACUUCGUG